RNAcentral lists this ribosomal RNA (407 nucleotides) under uncultured bacterium. RNAcentral describes it as "bacterial SSU rRNA". It matches the Rfam family "Bacterial small subunit ribosomal RNA", at positions 9 to 416 of the family's 1533-position model. The record is from RNAcentral.
GAGUUUGAUCUUGGCUCAGAUUGAACGCUGGCGGCAGGCCUAACACAUGCAAGUCGAGCGGUAGAGAGAAGCUUGCUUCUCUUGAGAGCGGCGGACGGGUGAGUAAUGCCUAGGAAUCUGCCUGGUAGUGGGGGGAUAACGCUCGGAAACGGACGCUAAUACCGCAUACGUCCUACGGGAGAAAGCAGGGGACCUUCGGGCCUUGCGCUAUCAGAUGAGCCUAGGUCGGAUUAGCUAGUUGGUGAGGUAAUGGCUCACCAAGGCGACGAUCCGUAACUGGUCUGAGAGGAUGAUCAGUCACACUGGAACUGAGACACGGUCCAGACUCCUACGGGAGGCAGCAGUGGGGAAUAGUGGACAAUGGGCGAAAGCCUGAUCCAGCCAUCGCCGCGUGUGUGAAGAAGGUC